UUUUUUCUUUCUCGAUUUAGUUAAUCUUCGUUCUUGUGUCAUGUAAUAGAUUACUAUUUCAAAACAUAGAUAUUUAGUUAUCUAAAUAAAACUAGGCCAUCCAUGGAUGGUUUCAAUUUUUUUUUUCAUAUGAAAGAAAAGUUAAAUUUCAUUUCACAAUAACCAUUGAUUACUAAAUUUAGUAAAGAAUCAAUUGGGUUUAGUGUUUACUUGUUUAAGGUUUUUUUUUUUUCUUUUGUUAUGGUUCUAUACUAAUAUCAAAGAGUUAUGGGCCGAAGCCCAUACAUCUUUCCGUCGAGAAUCUCAUAUAUUCUUUAUCGAAGCCCAUACAUCUUUCCGUCGAGAAUCUCAUAUAUACCUUAUCCCAUUCAACAUUCAUACGAGCGCCGCUCUAGGGUUUUUGCUUUUCGCCAUUGGUCCAAGUGCUAUUUGGUUGUUUAAGGUUGCUUUUAGCACACAACUUUAAUAUUAUUUUUAUGUUUUUCUUCUUACGAUUUAUCGAUUUGUGGGAUACUGACAAUCAGAUUAUUGUUGUUUUUUCCAGCCAAAUAUCAGAUCUUGCGCCGCUCUUUAUCCCAUUCAACAUUCAUACGAGCACCGCUUUACGGUUUUUGCUUUUCGACAUUGGUCGAAGUGCUAUUUGGUUGUUUAAGGUUGCUUUUAGCACACAACUUUAAUAUUAUUUUUAUGUUUUCUUCUUACGAUUUAUCGAUUUGUAGGAUACUGACAAUCAGAUUUUUGUUGUUUUUUUCAGCCAAAAAUCAGAUUUUUUUACAUUUUGUUUAGAGAAUGAUUUUGGUUCCCGAUUUGUCUGUUUUUCGCUUAUGUGUAAAGUACUUUG
This 841-nucleotide small RNA is filed under the name Arabidopsis thaliana (thale cress). Its description in RNAcentral is "ATSL228930". Lineage: Eukaryota; Viridiplantae; Streptophyta; Magnoliopsida; Brassicales; Brassicaceae. The record is from RNAcentral.